RNAcentral lists this ribosomal RNA (1501 nucleotides) under uncultured Gammaproteobacteria bacterium. RNAcentral's name for it is "bacterial SSU rRNA". It matches the Rfam family "Bacterial small subunit ribosomal RNA". The record is from RNAcentral. Lineage: Bacteria; Pseudomonadati; Pseudomonadota; Gammaproteobacteria.
AGAGUUUGAUCCUGGCUCAGAUUGAACGCUGGCGGUAUGCUUAACACAUGCAAGUCGAACGGAAACGAUACUAGCUUGCUAGUAGGCGUCGAGUGGCGGACGGGUGAGUAACGCGUAGGAAUCUGCCUGAUAGUGGGGGAUAGCCCGAAGAAAUUCGGAUUAAUACCGCAUAAUCUAUUCGUAGUAAAGUGGGGGACUUUCGAGCCUCACGCUAUCAGAUGAGCCUGCGUAAGAUUAGCUAGUUGGUAGGGUAAAAGCCUACCAAGGCUACGAUCUUUAGCUGGUCUGAGAGGAUGAUCAGCCACAUCGGGACUGAGACACGGCCCGAACUCCUACGGGAGGCAGCAGUGGGGAAUAUUGGACAAUGGGGGCAACCCUGAUCCAGCAAUACCGCGUGUGUGAAGAAGGCCUGAGGGUUGUAAAGCACUUUCAAUUGUGAAGAAAAGUUAACGGUUAAUAGCCGUUAGCCUUGACGUUAACUUUAGAAGAAGCACCGGCUAACUCCGUGCCAGCAGCCGCGGUAAUACGGAGGGUGCAAGCGUUAAUCGGAAUUACUGGGCGUAAAGCGUGCGUAGGCGGUUUAUUAAGUCAGAUGUGAAAGCCCCGGGCUUAACCUGGGAACUGCAUUUGAAACUGGUCAACUAGAGUAUGGUAGAGGAAAGUGGAAUUUCUGGUGUAGCGGUGAAAUGCGUAGAUAUCAGAAGGAACAUCAAUGGCGAAGGCAGCUUUCUGGACCAAUACUGACGCUGAGGUACGAAAGCGUGGGUAGCAAACAGGAUUAGAUACCCUGGUAGUCCACGCCGUAAACGAUGAUAACUAGCCGUUGGGGGGAUUUACCCUUUAGUGGCGAAGCUAACGCGUUAAGUUAUCCGCCUGGGGAGUACGGCCGCAAGGUUAAAACUCAAAGGAAUUGACGGGGACCCGCACAAGCGGUGGAGCAUGUGGUUUAAUUCGAUGCAACGCGAAGAACCUUACCUGGUCUUGACAUCCUGCGAACUUUCUAGAAAUAGAUUGGUGCCUUCGGGAACGCAGUGACAGGUGCUGCAUGGCUGUCGUCAGCUCGUGUCGUGAGAUGUUGGGUUAAGUCCCGUAACGAGCGCAACCCCUAUCCUUAUUUGCCAGCACGUCAUGGUGGGAACUAUAAGGAGACUGCCGGUGAUAAACCGGAGGAAGGCGGGGACGGCGUCAAGUCAUCAUGGCCCUUACGACCAGGGCUACACACGUGCUACAAUGGGAAGGACAAAGAGCCGCGAAGCCGCGAGGUGUAGCUAAUCUCAUAAAUCUUUUCGUAGUCCGGAUUGGAGUCUGCAACUCGACUCCAUGAAGUCGGAAUCGCUAGUAAUCGUAGAUCAGAAUGCUACGGUGAAUACGUUCCCGGGUCUUGUACACACCGCCCGUCAUACCAUGGGAGUGGGUUGCACCAGAAGUGGCUAGUCUAACUUUGUGAGGACGGUCACCACGGUGUGAUUCAUGACUGGGGUAAAGUCGUAACAAGGUAACC